UCUCGACUAGUAUAUCGGUUGAGUACACGCGCCUGUCAUGUAAACGGGCGCUUUAGUGACGUUCGCGCGAAAGCUGGGUUCGACUCCCAGGUCGAGAG
Mycena haematopus is the source of this 98-nucleotide non-coding RNA. Lineage: Eukaryota; Fungi; Basidiomycota; Agaricomycetes; Agaricales; Mycenaceae. The record is from the annotation of a GenBank genome assembly.